UGGGGGCAGUGCCGCUCUCCCAGAUGGCCUCGAGUCGUCUCCGGGGAUGGCCCCUGACUUCAUCUCCAAAUGGAGCCGGCCUCGGUCCUUGACCCCCAGGCCAGCCGCUGGGAUUCCAAGAGGGACUGGACUUCCCCAUCCCCCAUCCCCCAGCGAGCAGCUUUGAUUCCAGCCAUCUGUGACCCCUUUGGUGUUCAUGAUCCUUCUCCCCACCCCAUCCCACCUCCCGGCUGCUGGCCAUCAGGCAGAGGCCUGCUACGUCUCUGCGCCCGGCAACGUCAAGCCAGCGCGGUGGCUGCUUUCCUACCUGGCAGGUGGGGGCCCAGGGAAGAGCUCCCCAUCGGGAUCAUGAAGGGAGCAGUGGUACAUCCCGCGACUGACUGAGCCGGUCCAUUGUCAGGGAGCACGUAUGUACUCGCAGAACUGUAGACAUCUGAUCCAGGAAGCUAGCGGCUGUGUUUCGUUUGGCAAUAAACCUGGCCGGGUGCCUUCGUACCUUA
This is a long non-coding RNA of Malaclemys terrapin pileata, 500 nucleotides long. RefSeq lists it as uncharacterized. The record is from RefSeq and is a predicted model, not a curated record. NCBI's taxonomy places the organism in Eukaryota, Metazoa, Chordata, Testudines, Emydidae. The transcript is spliced from 2 exons.